AGCUUUUCGAAUCCGUCCUGAGAUUUCUUCAAACAACAACCUAUUAGGGCUGAUCAGACUUCCAAGAUAAGUGAAGUU
Molecule: microRNA precursor, 78 nt
Filed under: Schistosoma curassoni
Lineage: Eukaryota; Metazoa; Platyhelminthes; Trematoda; Strigeidida; Schistosomatidae
Description: mir-3492 microRNA precursor family
Rfam family: mir-3492 microRNA precursor family
Source: Rfam by way of RNAcentral